CGGCGUGCCUAACACAUGCAAGUCGAGCGAUUCUCUUCGGAGAAGAGCGGCGGACGGGUGAGUAACGCGUGGGUAACCUGCCUCAUACACAUGGAUAACAUACCGAAAGGUAUGCUAAUACAGGAUAAUAUAAGAGAUUCACAUGGAUUUCUUAUCAAAGCUCCGGCGGUAUGAGAUGGACCCGCGUCUGAUUAGCUAGUUGGUAAGGUAACGGCUUACCAAGGCGACGAUCAGUAGCCGACCUGAGAGGGUGAUCGGCCACAUUGGAACUGAGACACGGUCCAAACUCCUACGGGAGGCAGCAGUGGGGAAUAUUGCACAAUGGGCGAAAGCCUGAUGCAGCAACGCCGCGUGAGUGAUGAAGGCCUUCGGGUCGUAAAACUCUGUCCUCAAGGAAGAUAAUGACGGUACUUGAGGAGGAAGCCCCGGCUAACUACGUGCCAGCCGCAGC
This 451-nucleotide ribosomal RNA is filed under the name uncultured bacterium. RNAcentral's name for it is "bacterial SSU rRNA". It matches the Rfam family "Bacterial small subunit ribosomal RNA", at positions 40 to 518 of the family's 1533-position model. The record is from RNAcentral.